ACUGCCCAAAUCCAAGAUGGCUACCAGGAGGCCGUCAGUUCUCGGAAGUGCGGCACAUCCUCACUCCUGGGAGGCUCAAAGGCUCAAACGCCAUUGGCAGAAUCCCCGACAGCUCAUCCUCCGCCCCCUGCAGGGGGCGGUAAUGACAGAGUCCUAAUUUCCGGUUCCGGCAGUACCGGUAGCCCAGUCGAGAUGGAGGAAGAUGCGACCGGCAGACGGCAUUCGCUGGGAACGACGGAUAGACUGGGGGCUGCGGCCUAGAGGUCCGGGCUUGGAGUUCGCCUCAGACGCGGUGGAGCCGCCGGAGUCUGAGAAGAGCAGCUCUCCUACCUGUGUCCUAAGGAGUGCCCUCACAUUGUCUUUCAAGCUGUCUCGGGGCCCCUGGCUGCAGCCACUGCCUCCAUCCUCACCAAUCCCAUGGAUGUCAUACGAACCCGUGUGCAGGUUGAGGGCAAGAACUCCAUCAUCCUGACCUUCAGACAGCUGAUGGCAGAAGAAGGGCCUUGGGGCCUCAUGAAGGGCCUCUCGGCCAGAAUCAUCUCAGCCACACCUUCCACCAUUGUCAUUGUGGUGGGCUAUGAGAGCCUCAAGAAACUCAGCCUCCGACCUGAGCUGGUGGACUCGAGACACUGGUAACCAGUGGUGGGGAGAGAAGCCUGCUGUUUUCCACACUACCGUGGGUCAGGGGCAGAGUGGAGAGGACAGCACCCUCUCCAGGUGCUCCCACCACACACCCAGCCCUGCCCUGGGCCAAGUGGCCUAUCUGGGAUAGGGAUAGAGACUUUGAACUGCUCUUGCUGAAGAGGCUCCACGCCUGGAUCCCUUGCCCCCACUAUUUAAAAUUCUCUUCUGAGCUGGGCUCCCUCACUCAGUCCCUGUAUUUGAUACUGGCCUAAAGACCCCACCCCCCACCCUGCCAGCCCUUCUUCUGGCUUCCCCUUCCAUCUGUGUCCCUGAGACCCUGAGAAGAGCUGUACAUAGAGCUUGCUUACUACCACUGGUUCUUCCUCUUGGGCUUUCAGCCCAGACUCCAAGCAGCUGCUAUCAACCCUCUCUCCCUUCAUCUCUUAGCCUUGCUUAUUUUUAUUUUGGGACCGAGCUGCCCACUAGAUGACUCUGCUUUUCCCUGCAUUUGGGGCUAAGGUGCCAGGUACUUAUUUGCACAGGGAGCAGGAGCAGCAAAAAAUCUCUGGUUCUCCAGAGCACUCGUCCUCUCUUUGGAGGGGUUAUUAGGUUGGGAGAAAUGUUGAUACUUUUGUUUUGUGUGUGUGUGUGUGUGUGUGUGUGUGUGUGUGUGUGUGUGUGUUUUAACAUCUGUGAACCAGGCUAUUAGUCCUGCUAAAGCGCCAAUCCUGCUGUCAGAGCUCACCCCCUUCCUAAGACAGGUAGAAAAAUGUAAUGUAGCUUUUUCCACAAGCCACUUCCCUGUCCCUUCAGUCUCAGGAGCCCUAGGAGAGUCUAAGCUGGGGCAUCCCCUGGCCCAGAGGACUCCCGUGGUGGGCACAGUUCUAAGUGGAUCAGGCUGUCUUGGGUGCACUGGACUUGGAGCACUACCUUGAGAAGUCAGGUUGAGAAAGUAGUUGAUCUAGAAGGCAACAAGUGGGCAUGUGUUCCCCAGCACAUUACCCAGGCCAGCAGAGCCAAACCUAGGAGAGGGCAGUGGGUAGAUUCUCUGCCCCAGGCAGCCAUGACAUACACAUAAAUACCCCAAUCACUCAGACUUACGGCAACAAGUGUUGUCUCACUAUGGUGAUCUCUAAGAUCCACAUCACUGGAUGCGUAGUCAUCCCAGUCAUGGUACCCUGUGGAGGAAUGCUGGAAGAACAUAAAGAGCAGUUCAGAAAGUCACCCAAUACCAGGACCACUGCAUUUACCAGCCUGAUACUGCCAAGAUUAUCUGAUGCUCUCCUCAGGAGCUAGGAGAGGAGUGCUCCUUCCUCCCUACCGCUACUCUCCCCAAGCCUGUGUUGCAGGUAGAGAGGUGCAGCAAAUAGAGAAGGCAUGUCAAACCCUGCAUUUCUACCUGAGACGUGUGACCUGGAUGAUCCUCCAAACCCUAUUGGUCCCACCCCCUGGGAAAGGCCAUGGUGCCAGUUUGAAAGGUGCUAGCUACCUGAAGCCUUGAUAUUUCUUCAUGGCUGCCGCACAUUCUUCCACCUUGGCCAGAACAGGUUCUGAAAACCACUUCUCUACCUUCACCACCACCACUGCCCAUCUUGAUCUCUUUGAGGGUUUUCCCAUUUCACUUGAUCUUAUUUUUGUUUAUCCCUUCCUGCACUUUGUCAAGAGAGUCCUCCAGUUUCUAUCCAGGAAUGUUCACAUCCAAAGGGUUGGACCCACGGAUCAUUCUGAAUCUUCCUGCCCCUCCUCACUGCUUAACCCUGAGAACCACAAAUAUAAUGGAAGCAGUUCCCCCCACCCUCACCCCAUCUCUUUAAGCUCAUCCUAGCAAGACCUCUAGAGACCCUAGAGACUCGACUUUAGUCCUUCCCCGCCAUGGCACAGUGGGGAAGGUGUCAAUGGGGAGUGUCACGGACAGGAGGUAGGAUCCUGCCGCUCGCGUCUUAGUGUUUCUCCCUCAAGACUUUCCUUCUGUUUUGUUGUCUUGUGCAGUAUUUUACAGCCCCUCUUGUGUUUUUCUUUAUUUCUCGUACACACACGCAGUUUUAAGGGUGAUGUGUGUAUAAUUAAAAGGACCCUUGGCCCAUACUUUCCUAAUUCUUUAGGGACUGGGAUUGGGUUUGACUGAAAUAUGUUUUGGUGGGGAUGGGACGGUGGACUUCCAUUCUCCCUAAACUGGAGUUUUGGUCGGUAAUCAAAACUAAAAGAAACCUCUGGGAGACUGGAAACCUGAUUGGAGCACUGAGGAACAAGGGAAUGAAAAGGCAGACUCUCUGAACGUUUGAUGAAAUGGACUCUUGUGAAAAUUAACAGUGAAUAUUCACUGUUGCACUGUACGAAGUCUCUGAAAUGUAAUUAAAAGUUUUUAUUGAGCCCCCGA
RNAcentral lists this long non-coding RNA (3001 nucleotides) under Homo sapiens (human). Its description in RNAcentral is "long non-coding RNA NONHSAT149877.1". The record is from RNAcentral. Lineage: Eukaryota; Metazoa; Chordata; Mammalia; Primates; Hominidae.